AGCGAACGCUGGCGGCAGGCCUAACACAUGCAAGUCGAACGGACCCUUCGGGGUUAGUGGCGGACGGGUGAGUAACACGUGGGAACGUGCCUUUAGGUUCGGAAUAGCUCCUGGAAACGGGUGGUAAUGCCGAAUGUGCCCUUCGGGGGAAAGAUUUAUCGCCUUUAGAGCGGCCCGCGUCUGAUUAGCUAGUUGGUGAGGUAACGGCUCACCAAGGCGCCGAUCAGUAGCUGGUCUGAGAGGAUGACCAGCCACACUGGGACUGAGACACGGCCCAGACUCCUACGGGAGGCAGCAGUGGGGAAUCUUGCGCAAUGGGCGAAAGCCUGACGCAGCCAUGCCGCGUGAAUGAUGAAGGUCUUAGGAUUGUAAAAUUCUUUCACCGGGGACGAUAAUGACGGUACCCGGAGAAGAAGCCCCGGCUAACUUCGUG
This 433-nucleotide ribosomal RNA is filed under the name uncultured bacterium. RNAcentral's name for it is "partial 16S ribosomal RNA". It matches the Rfam family "Bacterial small subunit ribosomal RNA", at positions 29 to 507 of the family's 1533-position model. The record is from RNAcentral.